Molecule: long non-coding RNA, 1284 nt
Filed under: Calidris pygmaea (Spoon-billed sandpiper)
Lineage: Eukaryota; Metazoa; Chordata; Aves; Charadriiformes; Scolopacidae
Description: lncRNA (ENSCPGG00000009172.1)
Source: RNAcentral
CAAUGGGAUUCGGGCUCCGCGGGAGGGCGGGAGGUUCUAGCGGGCGGGGCGGACCCGAACCAGUGGCUGAGGUACCGGUUGGUGGGGGGUUGAGAAAUGAAGAGUCGGUUCGCUUUACCCCGCUGUCAGGACGCCAGCCGGGACUGAGCGGGACGGUGGGGAAUCGGAGGCGCCCGGGGAAGCUGUUGGAAUGGCCUCCAAAGGGCAAAGUGAGGGUACAGAGCAUCCAUCUGAGCCUCCUGCAGCUCCUCUUCAGAGUAACGGAACAUUUCAAUGGGGAGCCAUACUCGCUGCCGUGAAAGAUCAGCUCCCCUCUCUGGACUCUGACACGUCCACAUCUGAUUGUGAGAGCGAUGGGGAGCUUUUCGUCUUCCAGCGGGAACAGCCGAACCUAAUUCCUGACCUGUCAGAAGAACUGAUGGAAUUUUCCCUGGAAGACUCAAACCUGCAGCAAACCCAGGAAACGGAAAGAUGCCCAUGGGGGAGCUGGAAUGGAGAUGUGGAAAGUUCUGGCUUUCAGAAAAAAACAGAUGGUGCCCAAGUGUUUGUGAAAGAAGAUGUACAAAUGAUUAAAGUUGAGACUUCCAGUCUUGCCAGCCAUACUGGAGAAAUUCCAAGCCAAAAGGGAGCUGUUAUUGAAAAAUCUCUUGCAGAUUCCACAGAUCACCUUGAAGAGGAAGAACUGGGCAAGAGACAGGCCAGGGAGGGAGGGAACUCUUGGCUUAAUACAACGUUGUCUAUGGAAGAGCUGGGCAGUCAAAAAGAGAGAAGAAAGCUGAUAGAGACAAAGAUACUCUCCAAAAUAAUUCUGGAGCCAUCACCAGAUCACCCAGAGCUAGAUAUUAAGCCUCCCUCGCAUAGCGUUAGCAAGAAUCUAGAAAGAAUUGUGAAGGAGGAAACCUCCUCAGACAACCAUGUUCAAGAACGGACCCAUUUGUCGUUGCAGAAUAUUGAGAAGUGGGAUCUAGACAAGAUUCUUGAGGAGCUGGAGCAGCAGAAAGAAAACACUUGUGCAGAAGUUGCUUUGUCCUCAGCAGAUCAUGGGACCUUCAGGAGUAGGUCUGAAAAUCAGCUGAUGAAAAAGCUGGAAGAGCUGUCUGCCAGGCAUUCCAGGACCGUGCCUCCACGCUGCAGGUGGCCACCAGCCAAGCUCUCCUCCUUUCAAGAACAGCAAGAAAAUAAGAAGUAGGUUCUUUUCUGUCAGAUACACUGGGUAAUCAUGAUUGCCAGUAGGGAAACUAAUGGUGUUCUGUAGGUGUUUUUCUGUGUAGCCUCUGCAGAAAG